CUUUUCAGCUAUCUUACUUCAUCUUCUUUCUAAAUGGUAUUUUGCAGCAAUGAGUUUCAAAAGUUGGUACAUGAGAAACGCUGGGGCGCACAGUUGGUAGGAAGUUUCACAGUUGAAGUUGGUGAUCAAGAUGAAGCUAUUCACAUCUGGGAAUAUGAUGGUGGCUACCCAGCACUAAACAAUGCCACAGUGAAGUAUCGUACUGAUAAGGACUUCUUGGAGUUCCGAUCAAAGCGUAACAAGAUGUUACGUUCUCGACGUAACCAGAUUUUGUUACGUUUUAGCUUUUGGCCACGUGAAACACCAACACCCGACCGCAGUCACAUCUAUGAGUUGCGUAGUUAUGUGUUGAAGCCUGGUACCAUGAUUGAGUGGGGUAACAAUUGGGCUCGUGGUAUCCAGCAUCGGCGCACCAACAAUGAAGCCGUUGCAGGCUUCUUUUCGUCCAUCGGACACCUGUAUACAGCUCACCACUUGUGGGGGCGCGCGGCAUUCGGCACCGACCUGGGGCUGUAGCUGGCUUGUUCAGCCAUCUUGGGACACUGUACAAUGUGCACCAUUUGUGGGCAUAUGAAGACCUCCAGACGAGGAAGGAAACACGUGAGGCAGCUUGGCGGCGACCAGGAUGGGAUGAGUGUGUGGCAUAUACAG
This 651-nucleotide unclassified non-coding RNA is filed under the name Octopus sinensis (East Asian common octopus). Its description in RNAcentral is "protein NipSnap homolog 1, transcript variant X1". Lineage: Eukaryota; Metazoa; Mollusca; Cephalopoda; Octopoda; Octopodidae. The record is from RNAcentral.